Molecule: unclassified non-coding RNA, 201 nt
Filed under: Hevea brasiliensis (rubber tree)
Lineage: Eukaryota; Viridiplantae; Streptophyta; Magnoliopsida; Malpighiales; Euphorbiaceae
Source: RNAcentral
AAAUUAGAGAUGCCUAGAGUCUGCGAUAUUUUCCUUUUGAUAUCCAAAGUCGUGUUAGAGCUGAAGGCCAAGGCAGAUUUAUUGUAAUUAGCAAAUUGACCACUCACAUCUGCAUAACUUUGAAGAAUUUGCUUGAUCCCUGAAUUGAAGACUGUUUGAGCUUAUGAGAUAAGCCCUCCACACAUAAAAGAAAGAGAUAAA